CCCUCCUGGCAAUGGGCAAAGAGACACCUUGUUGGUGGUGGUAUUCUUACAUCAGUCAGGGGCAGAGCAGAUGGCAGUCCUUUGUUCAUCCUAGCUUGAUGUCUGGCUUGACAGCCAAAGCUGUUUUAUGUCUAGGACUCAUAA
This 144-nucleotide small nucleolar RNA is filed under the name Mus spretus (western wild mouse). RNAcentral describes it as "predicted gene, 24262 (ENSMSPG00010039551.1)". It matches the Rfam family "Small nucleolar RNA SNORA48". Rfam says of the family: The snoRNA ACA 48 has been identified to guide pseudouridylation of the residue U3797 in the 28S rRNA subunit. Its host gene EIF4A1 (eukaryotic translation initiation factor 4A1) is shared with U67 and snoRNA mgU6-77 Lineage: Eukaryota; Metazoa; Chordata; Mammalia; Rodentia; Muridae. The record is from RNAcentral.